Molecule: ribosomal RNA, 254 nt
Filed under: uncultured bacterium
Lineage: Bacteria
Description: partial 16S ribosomal RNA
Rfam family: Bacterial small subunit ribosomal RNA
Source: RNAcentral
UACAGAGGUCCCAAGCGUUUGUUCGGAUUCACUGGGCUUAAAGGGUGCGUAGGCGGCGCGGAAAGUUGGGUGUGAAAUCCCUCGGCUCAACCGAGGAACUGCGCCCAAAACUGCCGUGCUCGAGGGAGAUAGAGGUGAGCGGAACUUAGGGUGGAGCGGUGAAAUGCGUUGAUAUCCUAAGGAACACCGGUGGCGAAAGCGGCUCACUGGAUCUCUUCUGACGCUGAGGCACGAAAGCUAGGGUAGCGAACGGG